GAUGAACGCUGGCGGCGUGCCUAAUACAUGCAAGUCGAGCGAACAGACGAGGAGCUUGCUCCUCUGACGUUAGCGGCGGACGGGUGAGUAACACGUGGAUAACCUACCUAUAAGACUGGGAUAACUUCGGGGAACCGGAGCUAAUACCGGAUAAUAUAUUGAACCGCAUGGUUCAAUAGUGAAAGACGGUUUUGCUGUCACUUAUAGAUGGAUCCGCGCCGCAUUAGCUAGUUGGUAAGGUAACGGCUUACCAAGGCAACGAUGCGUAGCCGACCUGAGAGGGUGAUCGGCCAAACUGGAACUGAGACACGGUCCAGACUCCUACGGGAGGCAGCAGUAGGGAAUCUUCCGCAAUGGGCGAAAGCCUGACGGAGCAACGCCGCGUGAGUGAUGAAGGUCUUCGGAUCGUAAAACUCUGUUAUUAGGGAAGAACAAAUGUGUAAGUAACUAUGCACGUCUUGACGGUACCUAAUCAGAAAGCCACGGCUAACUACGUG
This 497-nucleotide ribosomal RNA is filed under the name uncultured bacterium. RNAcentral describes it as "partial 16S ribosomal RNA". It matches the Rfam family "Bacterial small subunit ribosomal RNA", at positions 28 to 507 of the family's 1533-position model. The record is from RNAcentral.